UUUUCAGUAUCAGAAAUCAAUUUAUUAUUGAUUUUUGGUGAUGUUCCAGUUCAUACUGUCUUCAUAGCACUGACUGUCACUCAAGUCAAUGCAGAUGUUCACCAGUUUUGCACUUGGAAUCAUGUUCAAUUUGGACAGAGUGCACAUCAUUUUGGAUGAAAUGGUGCUAAAUGGUUGCAUCGUGGAAACAAACCGGAACAGAAUUCUCGCGCCUCUGUUUGUGCUGGACAAAGUGGCAGAAGGCUAGGAAGAUGCAAGUGUGACUAAGACAUUUUACAAAAGAUGGCAAAAGCAUCAAGAAUGUGCCUAUAGCAGUUUUCUGCUCUUGCAAGACUGACUCAUGCAACAUUCAAAUUAGUUGGAAAAUAUUUUCCAUUUCUUUUAUGCUUUGUGUACCCAAUGGGAAAGAUACAGCUAAACAUGUGGAUGCAUUCAGAUGCAGCUUCACUGACCCAGCAGAAAUUUUCCUAGAAUGGUCAAUAAUUUUAAAACAUUUGAGGAUGAAGAAAUGGAAACUUACCAUGACUGACUAGGUAUCACUUUUAAUUAUGCAGUAUCAUGUCAGACCUAGAAGAAAAAAACCAAAGAAAUACAAAUUCAAACUGAGUUUCACUCCUUCCCUUAAGCACCAACUUAUUUUCAAACAAAUUUACUGUUAAUAAUGGUUCUAUGACUUUUAUACCCACUUCUAAACUAUAUUCAUCCUUCAUCAAAAAGAUGGUUUCCCUCCCUUUGACAUGCAAGUCAAGGACACAAAAAGAAAACUACAGAUGUACUAAAUAUUUUUGCAUACUUUGCAACUUGUAAUUGGAAUUAUUUAGCACUUAAAUAUUAUAAUAAUAAUAAAAGAUAAUUAAAAUAGUAAGUUUAA
Molecule: long non-coding RNA, 871 nt
Organism: Oenanthe melanoleuca
Lineage: Eukaryota; Metazoa; Chordata; Aves; Passeriformes; Muscicapidae
Exons: 2
Source: RefSeq, a predicted model, not a curated record